This 507-nucleotide unclassified non-coding RNA is filed under the name uncultured Entrophospora. Its description in RNAcentral is "SSU rRNA". It matches the Rfam family "Eukaryotic small subunit ribosomal RNA", at positions 591 to 1092 of the family's 1831-position model. The record is from RNAcentral. Lineage: Eukaryota; Fungi; Glomeromycota; Glomeromycetes; Entrophosporales; Entrophosporaceae.
CCAAUAGCGUAUAUUAAAGUUGUUGCAGUUAAAAAGCUCGUAGUUGAAUUUCGGGAUUGGCGCAUCGGUCGUGCCUCACGGGGUAUGAACUGGUGCAGUCAAUUUCUCACCUUCUGGAGAACCGCGAUGUCCUUAAUUGGAUGCCGCGGGGAACCAGGACCUUUACUUUGAAAAAAUUAGAGUGUUUAAAGCAGGCAUUUUUGCUUGAAUACAUUAGCAUGGAAUAAUAAAAUAGGACGGCAUGGUUCUAUUUUGUUGGUUUCUAGGACCACCGUAAUGAUUAAUAGGGAUAGUUGGGGGCAUUAGUAUUCAAUUGUCAGAGGUGAAAUUCUUGGAUUUAUUGAAGACUAACUACUGCGAAAGCAUUUGCCAAGGAUGUUUUCAUUAAUCAAGAACGAAAGUUAGGGGAUCGAAGACGAUCAGAUACCGUCGUGGUCUUAACCAUAAACUAUGCCGACUAGGAAUCAGACGAUGUUAAUUUUUUAAUGACUCGUUUGGCACCUUACG